RNAcentral lists this ribosomal RNA (253 nucleotides) under uncultured bacterium. RNAcentral's name for it is "partial 16S ribosomal RNA". It matches the Rfam family "Bacterial small subunit ribosomal RNA", at positions 524 to 776 of the family's 1533-position model. The record is from RNAcentral.
UACGUAGGGUGCAAGCGUUGUCCGGAUUUAUUGGGUUUAAAGGGUGCGUAGGCGGUUGAAUAAGUUAGUGGUGAAAUCGUGCCGCUCAACGGUACAUUGGCCAUUAAUACUGUUUAACUUGAGUAAGUGGAAGGAAGAUGGAAUGUGUGGUGUAGCGGUGAAAUGCAUAGAUAUCACACAGAACACCUAUUGCGAAGGCAGUCUUCUGUCACUUAACUGACGCUGAGGCACGAAAGCGUGGGGAUCAAACAGG